This 447-nucleotide ribosomal RNA is filed under the name uncultured bacterium. RNAcentral describes it as "bacterial SSU rRNA". It matches the Rfam family "Bacterial small subunit ribosomal RNA", at positions 329 to 793 of the family's 1533-position model. The record is from RNAcentral.
AGCCAGACUCCUACGGGAGGCAGCAGUGGGGAAUAUUGCACAAUGGGGGAAACCCUGAUGCAGCGACGCCGCGUGAGUGAAGAAGUAUUUCGGUAUGUAAAGCUCUAUCAGCAGGGAAGAAAAUGACGGUACCUGACUAAGAAGCCCCGGCUAACCACGUGCCAGCAGCCGCGGUAAUACGUAGGGGGCAAGCGUUAUCCGGAUUUACUGGGUGUAAAGGGAGCGUAGACGGCAUGGCAAGUCAGAUGUGAAAGCCCGGGGCUCAACCCCGGGACUGCAUUUGAAACUGUCAGGCUGGAGUGCAGGAGAGGUAAGUGGAAUUCCUAGUGUAGCGGUGAAAUGCGUAGAUAUUAGGAGGAACACCAGUGGCGAAGGCGGCUUACUGGACUGUAACUGACGUUGAGGCUCGAAAGCGUGGGGAGCAAACAGGAUUAGAUACCCCGGUAU